RNAcentral lists this ribosomal RNA (1546 nucleotides) under metagenome. RNAcentral's name for it is "bacterial SSU rRNA". It matches the Rfam family "Bacterial small subunit ribosomal RNA". The record is from RNAcentral.
AGAGUUUGAUCCUGGCUCAGAGUGAACGCCGGCGGCGUGGAUUAGGCAUGCAAGUCGAGCGAUCCUUGUUACUGAUGCAGAUUGAAAUCUUCGGGUGGAUAUUUGCAAAAGUAACGCUGGAUAGCGGCAAACGGGUGAGUAACACGUGGGUAAUGUACCUUAAGGCGAGGAACAGCUUCGCGAAAGCGGAGGUAAUGCCUCAUACUCUUUUAGAUCUGCGAUGGUCUUUAAGCAAAGAUGGCCUCUACUUGUAAGCUAUCACCUUUUGAGCAGCCCGCGUCCUAUCAGGUUGUUGGUGAGGUAAAAGCUCACCAAGCCUCUGACGGGUAGCUGGCGUAAGAGCGUGGUCAGCCACAUCGGGACUGAGACACUGCCCGGACUCCUACGGGAGGCUGCAGUCGAGAAUCUUUCACAAUGAGCGAAAGCUUGAUGAUGCGACGCCGCGUGGGGGAUGAAGGUCUUCGGAUUGUAAACCCCUUUUAUCAGGGAGGAAGACUCAAUACCUAAUACGUAUUGAGAUUGACUGUACCUGUUGAAUAAGCCACGGCUAACUCCGUGCCAGCAGCCGCGGUAAUACGGAGGUGGCAAGCGUUACUCGGUUUGACUGGGUGUAAAGGGUCCGUAGGCGGCCUGUUAAGUGAAAGGUGAAAUCCUUCGGCUCAACUGAAGAAUUGCCUUUUAAACUGCCAGGCUAGAGGAUGGUAGAGGAAAGUGGAACUGUUGGUGUAAAGGUGAAAUUUGUGGAUAUCAACAGGAACGCCCGUAGUGAAGACGACUUUCUGGACCAUUCCUGACGCUCAGGGACGAAAGCUAGGGGAGCAAACAGGAUUAGAUACCCUGGUAGUCCUAGCCGUAAACGAUGAGCACUAGGUGUUUGUACUUUUAGUAUGGGCGCCGUAGCUAACGCGUUAAGUGCUCCACCUGGGGACUACGGCCGCAAGGCUAAAACUCAAAGGAAUUGACGGGGACCCGCACAAGCGGUGGAACACGUGGUUUAAUUCGAUGCUACGCGAGUAACCUUACCAGGGCUUGACAUGCUAGAAGUAGUAUCCCGAAAGGGAGUCCGACCAGUAACCAGUCUGGAACUAGUGCAGGUGCUGCAUGGUUGUCGUCAGCUCGUGCCGUGAGGUGUUCCUUUAAGUAGGAAAACGAGCGCAACCCUCGCCUUUAGUUGCUAGUUAUGACUUUGUUAUAGCGCACUCUAAAGGGACUGCCCGCGUUAAGUGGGAGGAAGGCGGGGACGACGUCAAAUCCGCAUGGCCCUUAUGUCCUGGGCUACACACGUGUUACAAUGCUUACUACAAAGGGAGGCGAAGCCGCGAGGUGAAGCAAAUCUCAAAAAAGUAAGCUCAGUUCGGAUUGUAGGCUGCAACUCGCCUACAUGAAGCUGGAAUCGCUAGUAAUGGCGCAUCAUCUCGGCGCCGUGAAUACGUUCCCGGGUCUUGUACACACCGCCCGUCAAGCGCUGAAAGUGGGGGGUACCCAAAGUCCCAACUUGUUGAGAUCACGGUAAAUUUCAUGAUUGGCGCUAAGUCGUAACAAGGUA